UACGUAGGGUGCGAGCGUUAAUCGGAAUUACUAGGCGUAAAGCGUGCGCAGGCGGUUUUGUAAGCCAGAUGUGAAAUCCCCGGGCUUAACCUGGGAAUGGCAUUUGGGACUGCAAAGCUUGAGUGUGGCAGAGGGGACUGGAAUUCCUGGUGUAGCAGUGAAAUGCGUAGAGAUCAGGAGGAAUACCGAUGGCGAAGGCAGGUCCCUGGGCUGACACUGACGCUCAUGCACGAAAGCGUGGGGAGCAAACAGG
This 253-nucleotide ribosomal RNA is filed under the name uncultured bacterium. RNAcentral's name for it is "partial 16S ribosomal RNA". It matches the Rfam family "Bacterial small subunit ribosomal RNA", at positions 524 to 776 of the family's 1533-position model. The record is from RNAcentral.